Molecule: ribosomal RNA, 506 nt
Filed under: uncultured delta proteobacterium
Lineage: Bacteria; Deltaproteobacteria
Description: bacterial SSU rRNA
Rfam family: Bacterial small subunit ribosomal RNA
Source: RNAcentral
AACGAACGCUGGCGGCGUGCCUAACACAUGCAAGUCGAACGAGAAACCUCGGGCUUGCUCGAGGGAGUAAAGUGGCGCACGGGUGAGUAACGCGUGGGUAACCUGCCCCUGGAUCUGGGAUAACUUCGCGAAAGCGUAGCUAAUACCGGAUGAUGUCCUGUUGACUUAGGUCUUCGGGAUGAAAGAUGACCUCUUCAUGAAAGUUGUCGUUCAGGGAGGGGCCCGCGUACCAUUAGCUUGUUGGUGGGGUAAUGGCCCACCAAGGCAACGAUGGUUAGCUGGUCUGAGAGGAUGAUCAGCCACACUGGAACUGAAACACGGUCCAGACUCCUACGGGAGGCAGCAGUGAGGAAUUUUGCGCAAUGGGGGAAACCCUGACGCAGCAACGCCGCGUGAGUGAAGAAGGCCUUCGGGUUGUAAAGCACUUUCAGUAGGGAAGAAAUGCGUGAAGCUAAUAACUUCGCGCCUUGACGGUACCUACAGAAGAAGCACCGGCUAACUCCGUG